GCAAACACUUAAAAAUGUUUGUCUCGAGGAGCAUAUAUACAAGGUUAAAGAAUUAAUUGAUCAUGAAGCUCUCCGUCUCUUUAGCUUAUAUGCCUUCAAACAAGAUCAUCCCAAAGAAGGAUAUGAGAAGCUAUCAGAGAUGGGAAUAAGCUAUGCUCAAGGCAAUCCGUUAGCUCUUAGAGUUUUAGGCUCUAACAUGUAUGGUGAGGAUAUAGAAGAUUGGGAAAGUGAGUUGAAAAAAUUGAAAGAAAUUCCUGAUUUCGACAUUCAAAAAGUCCUGAGAAUAAGUUAUGAUAAACUAGAUCGUCAUCAAAAAAGUAUAUUUCUUCAUAUUGCAUGUUUCUUU
Molecule: unclassified non-coding RNA, 346 nt
Filed under: Hevea brasiliensis (rubber tree)
Lineage: Eukaryota; Viridiplantae; Streptophyta; Magnoliopsida; Malpighiales; Euphorbiaceae
Source: RNAcentral